RNAcentral lists this long non-coding RNA (666 nucleotides) under Chrysemys picta bellii (western painted turtle). Its description in RNAcentral is "lncRNA (ENSCPBG00000009922.1)". The record is from RNAcentral. Lineage: Eukaryota; Metazoa; Chordata; Testudines; Emydidae.
GUUAGAAUGCACAGCCAGGUGACUGACCCACUUUGCCUGGAUGGCAGAUUUCUUUCUUUUACUAGCUGGAAAGUCCAGGACAGGAAAGAAGGAAGUGGAGGAAAGCAAGAAGUGGUGGUAAAUGCAAAUAUUUGAAGCACAGCAAAGGCCCAACAUAAGCAUGGUUCUACAUGUCCCUUUAGUCCCAUCGAUGCCCAUAAGGAUCCUCUUUCCAACAGUCAGUCAUGAGAUGGGGAAGAACCGUGCCAUGAAGAUGCACUCUGAAAAGUGAGAGCUGGAUACACCCAGCUGCCUUUGACGAAUCUGAGGCAAACUCUCUCUUACCAGAAUUUGGAGGUGGGGCAUUUUUCCAGGCCCUUCAAUGCAGUCCAGUGAGAUUCCCAUACCUGACUCCAUACUCAAUACCAGGCAUGGGGUUGUGUCAGCGAGACAAGGCAUGCAGAGCAUGUGCUGGGGCUCCUGGAUCUCAGGGGUGUGGGAGAUGCUGCUGAGGCAGUGGACACAUUGCCAUGGCAACCUCCUCUAACAUGUACGUGGCUGGAGGUGCCGCCUGACUGUCUGCCAACUAGCCAUUGAUUUUGUCUAUUAUGGUUUUUCAAGUGAAUCACCAUGAGACAAAGCAAACAGAAAAGUGUACAUCUGCUAAAGAAUCUUAUUAAACUGUUC